This 425-nucleotide ribosomal RNA is filed under the name uncultured bacterium. RNAcentral describes it as "bacterial SSU rRNA". It matches the Rfam family "Bacterial small subunit ribosomal RNA", at positions 354 to 796 of the family's 1533-position model. The record is from RNAcentral.
GUGGGGAAUAUUGCACAAUGGGGGAAACCCUGAUGCAGCGACGCCGCGUGAAGGAAGAAGUAUCUCGGUAUGUAAACUUCUAUCAGCAGGGAAGAUAGUGACGGUACCUGACUAAGAAGCCCCGGCUAACUACGUGCCAGCAGCCGCGGUAAUACGUAGGGGGCAAGCGUUAUCCGGAUUUACUGGGUGUAAAGGGAGCGUAGACGGACUGGCAAGUCUGAUGUGAAAGGCGGGGGCUCAACCCCUGGACUGCAUUGGAAACUGUUAGUCUUGAGUGCCGGAGAGGUAAGCGGAAUUCCUAGUGUAGCGGUGAAAUGCGUAGAUAUUAGGAGGAACACCAGUGGCGAAGGCGGCUUACUGGACGGUAACUGACGUUGAGGCUCGAAAGCGUGGGGAGCAAACAGGAUUAGAUACCCCUGUAGUCC